UACGAAGGGGGCUAGCGUUGUUCGGAAUUACUGGGCGUAAAGCGCACGUAGGCGGACUACUAAGUCAGGGGUGAAAUCCCGGGGCUCAACCCCGGAACUGCCUUUGAUACUGAUAGUCUCGAGUCCGGAAGAGGUGAGUGGAAUUCCGAGUGUAGAGGUGAAAUUCGUAGAUAUUCGGAGGAACACCAGUGGCGAAGGCGGCUCACUGGUCCAGUACUGACGCUGAGGUGCGAAAGCGUGGGGAGCAAACAGG
RNAcentral lists this ribosomal RNA (253 nucleotides) under uncultured bacterium. Its description in RNAcentral is "partial 16S ribosomal RNA". It matches the Rfam family "Bacterial small subunit ribosomal RNA", at positions 524 to 776 of the family's 1533-position model. The record is from RNAcentral.